UAAUGAAAGAAGUAUGAUAAUGUGUACAAAAAUUGAAUUGGGUCUCUAGGUAUGCCCUCUCUGAUACCAUUUGGCUUAGAUUAGGGAGGCAUGGUUGGCAACAAAAUAG
Molecule: small nucleolar RNA, 109 nt
Organism: Rhododendron vialii
Lineage: Eukaryota; Viridiplantae; Streptophyta; Magnoliopsida; Ericales; Ericaceae
Product: small nucleolar RNA snoR100
Exons: 1
Source: RefSeq, a predicted model, not a curated record